This 265-nucleotide ribosomal RNA is filed under the name uncultured bacterium. RNAcentral's name for it is "partial 16S ribosomal RNA". It matches the Rfam family "Bacterial small subunit ribosomal RNA", at positions 793 to 1055 of the family's 1533-position model. The record is from RNAcentral.
GUCCUAGCCGUAAACGAUGAACACUAGGCGUCGUCGGUAUCGACCCCGGCGGUGCCGUAGCUAACGCAUUAAGUGUUCCGCCUGGGGAGUACGGCCGCAAGGCUAAAACUCAAAGGAAUUGACGGGGGCCCGCACAAGCAGCGGAGCGUGUGGUUUAAUUCGUCGGUACGCGAAGAACCUUACCAGGGCUUGACAUGCAGUGGAAAGCGGCGGAAACGUCGUCCUCCCGCAAGGGAUCGCUGUGCAGGUGUUGCAUGGCUGUCGU